Molecule: non-coding RNA, 2531 nt
Organism: Cinara cedri
Lineage: Eukaryota; Metazoa; Arthropoda; Insecta; Hemiptera; Aphididae
Source: the annotation of a GenBank genome assembly
GGUUGUACAGUUAUGUUGUAUAGCAUUAUGAAGUAUAGCACUUUUUCUGAAAGGAAAUAUUCUCUGGGUUGUACUUUUAAGACUUUAUUUUUUUUCAAAUUCUCAUUAAUAUUCAAGAUAAUGAGAAAAAUCUGAUUAUUUGAGUUAAUAAAGAUUGAAAGAUUAAAAAUAAGGUUGUCAUUGGUAGCCAUUUUAAUUUAUUUUUGUUAUUAUUAAGUUUUUAUUAUUUUAACCUUUUUUAAACAAUAUCAUUGUUGUCAUAGAAAUACACAUUAUUGUAAUCAUCUUACCAUAAUAUGACGUAUACCAAAUAUUGUAUUGUUGACAAAGCAACACUAUCAACUGAACUCUACUCAGAAUAGUUUUUUUGUUAGCAAUAGUUUAUCGUUGCUUACAGAUGUACAUUAAAUUCCCAUCUGUAUCCUACCUUCCCAAUUUCCCAUCUACAACAUUGGAUACGCCCAAGAGCGCAUCUUUUUUUUUACCACUAAAUACGAUUUAUAUUGAACCUCUUUUCGUCGCAUUUUCAAACAUUUCAGUUUAAUUUAACAAUUUAACAAAUUUUGCUAAAAUAUUACAAAAAUUACAGGAGAAAUUAAAAAACUAAUUACUUACUCAUAAAUCAGAUUAAAAGUUAAACAAAAAAGGUCGAUUGUUGUUUUUCUAUUGGGGCAAUGAUAGAAAACAUAAGCUAUCAAAAUGUUAAAUAAUGAAAUCGCUGCGCUGCAAUUCGAAAAAAAAAAUAACUUUUUUCAUCUUAUUUGGUAUUUCCCAAUAAUUAUGAAAAAAAACUUUAGAUAUUAAAAUACGACUUUCUUUAUCAGUGGUUAUAUAAUCAAAGGAACAAACUCGAUAAAUUGUCAUUUUUAGAUUGGUACAUUGUUUCAAGAGUUCUCGUGUAUAAAAAUGGACAUUUAAAAAUCCAUUAUGACUACGAAACGCCAGUUCAUCUAUGACGUAGUUAUGGUAUUAUAUUUAUAUGGCAUAUAAGUUCAAAAUUUCAGAUUCCAUUCCUAUUGUCAUAGACUUGAACGCAACGAGGAAUGUAUCGGUUUUACUAUGAUGUGUGUCUAACAAUGUCAAAAAAUGAAUAAAUAUUCGAUUAUUCGUAUUUGAUACAAAUAUCCAAUUGUAGGGGUACGAAUAAAGGUGCCAACUAUUCACAAUAUAAAUCGAUAGCAGGAUACAAAAUAAUGUUCAUCCGAGUAUAUAAUAUUGUUUUGGACGUAUUGCGUCAUGUUAAUUCGUUCGGAUAUAAUAGCCCGAAGUGAUUAUAAAAGUAUUAUUGCUAUCUAUUGAAUAUACGAUGGCGUUCUCUAGAAAGUGAUGGUUUGAAAAGUGCAUCCGCGAGUUAAUAAUAUUCGACCAGAAGGAUUGAAAAAAAAUAAAUAAUGACAAAUUCUCUAUACACCGUUAUACAUUAUCGUGCCCAUUCAACCGGUGGUUAUGUCGUUGUCCAAUAACGCGAUCGUCUACAGCACUCUCGAAAUCGCGGUAACAUAACCACGAUAAAUAUACGUACUUGAAUAUCGGGGGGAAAAAUAGCGUUUGGUUGUGUUUAGUACACGGCGGACGUCAUACGAGACGUCAACACUAUCAUUAUUGUAUUACUUUAAACAUCAUCUACACAUAUGUACGGCAUGUUAAUAUUAUUAACUAGUAUAAUUAUUAUUAUUAUACGAUUUGCAAAAUUUCGUUAAAAUCAAACAAAACGAGUAUAACUAGAGGGGUGGAGGAGGGGGGGGGAGUAACGUGGGUGAUAAACCAUUCCCAAAACCUUUUUUUUACGUUAAAUAAUUAUCGUAAGUUUUUUUUUUUAAGUGCUAUUAAAACUUAUUAAGUAUGUAUGUUAUUUUUUAAAUCACCCCCCAAAAUAAGGUCCUAGUCACGCCACUAAAAACGAAUAGUAAAGAUUUAAUACUAGGGCGGUUGUGCCACUGUUGUAAAUGGAAGUUGGGAAUGUAUAGGAUAAAUAAAAUUAUCUAAUUUAUAUUCGUUCUCGACGAUAAACUGUUGAAAACGAAAAACGAUUUUGGGCAAAAGUUCGGUUCAACAUGUUCUGAGAUUUGAACUUAAUGUUUAAAAAAAAAAAAAAACGGGUAUACUUCGUACCAUGGGUGAGUCACUGCAGUUGCAGGUGAGAAGUUGAUAAGGCAGAUGGGAAAUAUAAUGUACGAAAAUAUUAGUCGUUUCUUGUGAAAAAUGAUUCUGAGUGGGUUUGAAAGACCGUUAUAUUUACGAUUUGAAAAUAAUAUAUUUUGUAUACAUUUCACAAAUUUUAACAUAUCCCUGAAAUUUGUUAUCGACACAUAUAAUACCAUUUCGAACCCUUAAAUGAUCCUACACUGUAUAGUGAAUCGUGUUGUGGAAAAAUGUACAGGUAGUAGAACAUAGGGAAUAUAAAUCCACGGACAUUUAACCAAAUGUACCACGAAUAUUAGCCAUCCAGUCUAACGAAAUAUUUUACAUUGUGUUAUUAUUUUAUUAAUAUAUUUAAUAAUCGAUUGUUUCAUAAACAAAUAUAAGAGUCU